RNAcentral lists this transfer RNA (68 nucleotides) under Marmota marmota marmota (Alpine marmot). It matches the Rfam family "tRNA". From Rfam's summary of the family: Transfer RNA (tRNA) molecules are approximately 80 nucleotides in length. Their secondary structure includes four short double-helical elements and three loops (D, anti-codon, and T loops). RNAcentral also lists the same sequence under 1 other name. Lineage: Eukaryota; Metazoa; Chordata; Mammalia; Rodentia; Sciuridae. The record is from Rfam by way of RNAcentral.
GGUGUUUAGCUCAGUGGUAGAGCUCUUGUCUCAUAUGUGUGAGGCACUGGGUUCGAUUCCCAGCACCA